Molecule: ribosomal RNA, 475 nt
Filed under: uncultured Bacillota bacterium
Lineage: Bacteria; Bacillati; Bacillota
Description: bacterial SSU rRNA
Rfam family: Bacterial small subunit ribosomal RNA
Source: RNAcentral
GGGCAGGAAGACAGGUGGUGCAUGGUUGUCGUCAGCUCGUGUCGUGAGAUGUUGGGUUAAGUCCCGCAACGAGCGCAACCCUUAUCAUUAGUUGCUACCAUUAAGUUGAGCACUCUAGUGAGACUGCCCGGGUUAACCGGGAGGAAGGUGGGGAUGACGUCAAAUCAUCAUGCCCCUUAUGUCUAGGGCUACACACGUGCUACAAUGGUAGGUACAACAAGACGCAAGACCGCGAGGUGGAGCAAAACUGUAAAACCUAUCCCAGUUCGGAUUGUAGGCUGAAACUCGCCUACAUGAAGCCGGAGUUGCUAGUAAUCGCGAAUCAGCAUGUCGCGGUGAAUACGUUCCCGGGCCUUGUACACACCGCCCGUCACACCAUGAGAGUUGGCAAUACCCAAAGUUCGUGUGGUAACCGUAAGGAGCCAGCGGCCUAAGGUAGGGUCAGCGAUUGGGGUGAAGUCGUAACAAGGUAACC